This 407-nucleotide ribosomal RNA is filed under the name uncultured bacterium. Its description in RNAcentral is "bacterial SSU rRNA". It matches the Rfam family "Bacterial small subunit ribosomal RNA", at positions 355 to 776 of the family's 1533-position model. The record is from RNAcentral.
UGGGGGAUAUUGGACAAUGGGGGGAACCCUGAUCCAGCGACGCCGCGUGAGUGAAGAAGUAUUUCGGUAUGUAAAGCUCUGUCAGCAGGGAAGAAAGAAAUGACGGUACCUGACCAAGAAGCCCCGGCUAACUACGUGCCAGCAGCCGCGGUAAUACGUAGGGGGCAAGCGUUAUCCGGAAUUACUGGGUGUAAAGGGAGCGCAGACGGUGAAGUAAGUCUGGAGUGAAAGGCGGGGGCCCAACCCCCGGACUGCUCUGGAAACUAUUUGACUGGAGUGCAGGAGAGGCAGGCGGAAUUCCUGGUGUAGCGGUGAAAUGCGUAGAUAUCAGGAGGAACACCGGUGGCGAAGGCGGCCUGCUGGACUGUAACUGACGUUGAGGCUCGAAAGCGUGGGGAGCAAACAGG